Molecule: long non-coding RNA, 1849 nt
Filed under: Vigna radiata
Lineage: Eukaryota; Viridiplantae; Streptophyta; Magnoliopsida; Fabales; Fabaceae
Description: long non-coding RNA (VRAD_LNC001225)
Source: RNAcentral
UUCUAAUCAGAGAUACUACUGCAAUCAGAUCCUACAACAUUAAUUAAUCACAACCUUAACUACUUCUAAGCAUAUCGAUCCUCCAUGUUAAAUACUAUCCGUUGGAGUCGUGAUCAUUUUUUUUUCUGUGGUUCAGUGAUAAGAGUUCUGAGCAUUCUAUUUUGCAUUGGUGAUUGGCUUAACUAAGUCACUCUGUAUUAUAAAAACGUACCUUCAAUGUGUGUGGCCUUGAUUAGGGCUGAGUAAAAAUAAUUGAUCUAUACUUAAUUAACUGUACUAUAUUAUAUUAAAAAAAAUAGAUUCACUUCUACUAAAAGUUCAGUUAACUGUUUUAUGAUUCAGUUUUUAAAAACUGAACUUAUAACAGUUUCAGUUCAGUUAACUGUGAGAACUAUUUUUACUUUUUCCUCUUCUCUAGUUCCGGUACAACUGUUUCGUCUUACUAAAUUAAUAAAAAGAAAUUAUUCACAUAAAAAAUUAAUAAUUAAUUUUUUACCACAAUUUUUUUAUUACAAAUUUUAAUAUUUUAAUAUUUUUUAUCAAUAAAUAUAUAACAUAUAUAAAUAAAAAAGAUAAUUUAUAUUUUUAUAUUUUUUAAAUUACAUAAUAUAUAUAUAUAUAUAUAUAUAUAUAUUUAUUACUUUACGUUAUUUUUUAUAUUUUUUUAUUAAUAAAAUAAAUAAAUAAAAAAUAAAAUAAUUUCCAUACACAUAUAAUAAUAAAAGAAAUAUAAAUAAAAUAUAAAAUUAUAAUAUCAAAUAAUUAAAAAAUUAAUUUGUAAAAUACUUAUGAAUAAAAUAAAAUAAAUAUUAAAAUAAAUUUUUAUUAUAUUAAAAAUAACGUUUGUGUUAACUCGAAACAUUUUCCAAUAUUAAACCACUGUAACAAUUUUUAUUCCAAAUAAAAAAAGAAAAUUUUUAUUCCAAAUAAAAAAAGAAAUUUUUUUACAAAACUUGCAAUCAAAAUGAUUUAAUUUCAGAUUAUAAUCUAAAGUUACUUUGUUAUUAGAUAUUGUUAAAAUCAGAUUUUAGAAUUAGUACAAUGUUAAAAUUAGUACAAUUCAGUUUAAAAUUAGUAGUUCAGUUAAAAUUAAUGCAGUUUAGUAUUGACUUAAUAGUUUAGUUAGUGUAAUUUACAAUUCAGUUAAUAUUUCAGAACAAUUUACAGUUUUGUUAAUAAUUCAGUUAGUGCAGUUUACAAUUCAGUUAAUAGUUCAGUUUAGUUAGUACAGUUUACAGUUCAGUUAAUAGUUCAGUCAGUACAGUUUACAAUUCAGUUAAUAGUUCAGUUCCGUUUAUACUGCAGUUUAGUACAAUUUAGUAUAGUUUAGUUCAGUUCAGUUUGAUAAAACAAAAAACAGUUCAGUUUAAAGAAAUUAGUUUUUAGUUCAGUUCAGUUUUUAGCAGUGCAGUUCAGUUCAAUUCAAUUUGCUCACCCCUAACCUCGAUCAUUCUUUAAGUUGUGCAACACUGAUUGUUUUUGGCAUGAUAAGGAUCCAUUCUGCAUAAAUUUUCAUUGUCCAUGCAUUUUCUGUAACAAGCUAGGUUACCUUGCAUUAGUCCAAUUUUUCAUUUGUGUUUCAUGGCAUGACACAUUGAGUCUGCUAUAUUUUGAUGAGUCAUGAUCCAAAAUUAAUGAGUGCACUAAAACUGGCUUUUUUCCAUCAUGACAGAACAAUUUUAAAUAUUGCAUCUUCAUGGUUUGUCUCAUAACUAUCGUACGAUGCUUUUAAAUGUGUUAUCCUUCCCUGAUUGAGUNACACGUGGUCCAGUAUGGGGUGACUUUAUUCCUCUCAUUGCAUGACCGAAUUACAUAGCUAUACUAAAUGUUUUUGGUACUAUUUUGUUCA